Molecule: ribosomal RNA, 253 nt
Filed under: uncultured bacterium
Lineage: Bacteria
Description: partial 16S ribosomal RNA
Rfam family: Bacterial small subunit ribosomal RNA
Source: RNAcentral
UACGAAGGGUGCAAGCGUUACUCGGAAUUACUGGGCGUAAAGCGUGCGUAGGUGGUUCGUUAAGUCUGAUGUGAAAGCCCUGGGCCCAACCUGGGAAUGGCAUUGGAUACUGGCGACCUAGAGUGCGGUAGAGGGGUGUGGAAUUCCCGGUGUAGCAGUGAAAUGCGUAGAUAUCGGGAGGAACAUCUGUGGCGAAGGCGACACCCUGGACCAGCACUGACACUGAGGCACGAAAGCGUGGGGAGCAAACAGG